CUGCCCUCGGGCACCCUGCAAGGUGGGCGAGGGGCUCAGGGGGACACAGAGGGGGUUCGGGGGGUUCAGGGGGGCUCCCUGCCCUUGGGCACCCCGCAAGGUGGGUCGGGGGACACAGAGAGACUUCGGGGGGCUCAGGGGGGAUUUAGGGGGUCCCUGCGCUCGGGGAGCCCCCAAGGUGGGUGAGGGACCCUCCGUGGGGCCCUCAGGAGGGGAUUUGGGGGCACCGGCCCAGGGGGGGCUCGUGGGGGGGGGCCUGGCUGGGGGUGUGCGUGGGGGGGAGGGGGGUCCGUGUGUCCCUGUGUGUCCCCAUGUCCCUGUGUCCUUGUCCCUGUGUCACCCUGUGUGUCCCCAUGUCCCUGUGUCCCUCUGUGUCCCCAUGUCCCUGUCCCUGUGUGUCCCUCUCCAUGUGUUCCCAUGUCCGUGUGUCCCCGUGUCCACAUGUCCCUGUGUCCUUGUGUCUGUCCAUGUCCGUGUGUGUCUGUGUGUCCCCGUGUCCCCAUGUCCCUUUGUGUCCCCCUGUGUGUCCCUGUCCGUGUGUGCCCCUGCCCCUGUGUCCUUCUGUGUCCCCAUGUCUGUGUCCCUGUCCGUGUGUCCCCGUGUCCCUGUCCGUGUGUCCCUGUGUGUCCCCGUGUCCCUGUCCCUAUGUCCCUGUCCCCGUGUCCCCGUGUCCCUGUCCAUGUGUCCCUGUCCGUGUGUCCCUGUGUGUCCCCGUGUCCCUGUCCCUAUGUCCCUGUCCGUGUGUCCCUGUGUGUCCCCCUCUCCGUGUGUCCCUGUGUGUCCCCCUGUCUGUGUGUCCCUGUGUGUCCCCGUGUCCCUGUCCAUGUCUCCCUGUGUGUCCCCAUGUCCGUGUGUCCCUCUGUGUCCCCCUGUCCGUGUGUCCCUGUGUGUCCCCCCUGUCCGUGUGUCCCCGUGUCCCUGUCCCCGCUCUCGGCGGGGCGCGGCUGGCCCCGAGGUGCCAGUGCCACCUGUGCUGUCCCAGGCCGUGCCCCGGGUGACCUCGUGAUCCGCAGCCUGACCGUGGCCCACGCUGGCACCUACCAGUGCCGGGUCACCAACCGCGUGGGCUACUCGGUGUGCCAGCUGAGCCUGAACCCUGGGCCCCGUGAGUGGCACUGGGGACACCGGGGACAUUGGGGACACUGGGGACAUUGGGGACACUGGGGACAUUGGGGGCAUUGGGGACAUUGGGGACACUGGGGACACUGGGGACAUUGGGGGACAUUGGGGACAUUGGGGGACAUUGGGGGCAUUGGGGACAUUGGGGACAUUGGGGACACUGGGGGACACUGGGGACACUGGGGAUAUUGGGGACAUUGGGGACAUUGGGGGCAUUGGGGACACCGGGGACAUUGGGGACAUUGGGGUGUGCCAGCUCAGCCUGAACCCCAGCCCACGUGAGUGGCAUCGGGGACACAAGGGACAUUGGGGACAUUGGGGACAUUGGGGACACGGGGGACAUUGGGGACAUGGGGGACACUGGGGACAUUGGGGACAUUGGGGACACCGGGGGGACACUGAGGUGGCACCAGGAUGUCUCAGGUGCCAGGGUGUCCCAAGGGUGGCCCUGGGGUGGCACCGUGGGUGGUCCUGUGUGUCACCAGGGAUGGCUCUGGGUGGCACCGGGUGACUCUGGGUGGCACUGGGGGUGGCACCGGGUGUCCCUGGGCUCCAAUCUGGUCCUGGGUGGCACCGGGUGACUCUGGGUGGCACUGGGGGUGGCACCGGGUGUCCCUGGGCUCCAAUCUGGCCCUGGGGUGGCACCGGGUGACUCUGGGUGGCACCGGGUGGCACCGGGUGGCACCGGGUGACUCUGGGUGGCACUGGGGGUGGCACCGGGUGUCCCUGGGCUCCAAUCUGGCCCUGGGUGGCACCGGGUGGCACCGGGUGGCACCGGGUGGCCCUGGGCUCCAAUCUGGCCCUGGGUGGCACCGGGUGGCACUGGGGCGCCCGGGCAGCCGGCGAGGCCGGCGGUGACAGGCUGUGCCCCCACGGCAGGCGGGCGCCAGGCUGGCAUCAUCGUGGGCUCCAUCCUGGGCUCCCUCCUCCUGCUCAGCCUCCUGGGGCUGCUGAUCUGGGCACUGAUCGCCCGCUACCAGCGCAAGGAGUGCCAGCGCGCCUGCAGCGACUGCAGGUGGGCACCGCGGGGGCGCGGGGCGCCAGGGACUGGCACGGGGCUGGACUGGGCUGGACUAGGCUGGACUGGGCACCAGUGACUGGCACUGAGCUGUACUGGUCUGUACUGGGCACCAGUGAGUGGCACGGGGCUGUACUGGGCACCAGGGACUGGUACUGGGCUGUACUGGGCUGUACUGGGCACCAGUGACUGGCACUGGGCUCUACUGGGAUCUNNNNNNNNNNNNNNNNNNNNNNNNNNNNNNNNNNNNNNNNNNNNNNNNNN
RNAcentral lists this long non-coding RNA (2401 nucleotides) under Chloebia gouldiae (Gouldian finch). RNAcentral's name for it is "Erythrura gouldiae (Gouldian finch) lncRNA (ENSEGOG00005010045.1)". The record is from RNAcentral. Lineage: Eukaryota; Metazoa; Chordata; Aves; Passeriformes; Passeridae.